AGAGAAUGAAAAAUCGGAUUAGCUGUUAAGUACAUCGCACUCAAGUUGCCACACCAAAGAGCUGGUGGCAUAGAUGACGUGAAUCCAAUCUCAUGCAGGAGCUGCUGAAGCCAAGUAAGUUCAAACGUUGGGCCACGAUUGCCCUGUAUUCAGCUUCAAUUGAAGAUAGAGAAACAGCUUGUUGCUUCCGAUAAGCCCAUGAAAUCAAAUGAUCACCAAGAUAAAUAGCAUAUCCAGUGGUGGACUUACGAUUGUCAA
This 258-nucleotide unclassified non-coding RNA is filed under the name Hevea brasiliensis (rubber tree). The record is from RNAcentral. Lineage: Eukaryota; Viridiplantae; Streptophyta; Magnoliopsida; Malpighiales; Euphorbiaceae.